This is a non-coding RNA of Rhamnusium bicolor, 73 nucleotides long. The record is from the annotation of a GenBank genome assembly. Lineage: Eukaryota; Metazoa; Arthropoda; Insecta; Coleoptera; Cerambycidae.
UCCGAUAUCGUCUAGUGGUCGGGAUACCUGGUUUCCUAAGCAGGAGACCCAGGUUCGAUUCCUGUUAUGGAAG